AAUUAAAAUUUUAAAUAAAUUAUUAAAGAAACACAAAAAAAUCCUAAAUAAAUCUUAAUUUGAAUCAUAAUUAAAUCUUAAAAAAUCCUAAAUAAAUUCUAAUUAAAUCUUAGACAAAUUUAAAUCAAAUUUUGAACAAAUUCUAAUCAAAUCCUAGACAAAUAUUAGACAAAUAUUAAUAAAAUUUUAGAAAAAUCCUAAUCAAAUCCUAAAAAAAUUCUAGACAAAUCUUAGAUAAAUCCUAGAUAAAUCCUACUCAAAUCCUAGAUCCUAAACUAAUCUUAAAUUUUAAAUAAAUUCUUAAUAAAUGCAAUGGUAUAUUAAAACUUCCAUAACUAAUAAUCAAACUAUUUAUUUUAAUUCAAAUUUUUCACACCUUUCAAUAAUUAAGCUAGAAAUAAGCACAAAUAUUUUUAAGAAGAUCAAACAUACCAAAUAGAAGAUAAAUUCUAAAAUAUGCGUGGAUGUUAGUUGGCAUUCUUCUUC
RNAcentral lists this long non-coding RNA (486 nucleotides) under Physcomitrium patens. RNAcentral's name for it is "long non-coding RNA (PPAT_LNC002695)". Lineage: Eukaryota; Viridiplantae; Streptophyta; Bryopsida; Funariales; Funariaceae. The record is from RNAcentral.